GCUGAACUGUUUUUGCGAUGUGUUCCUAAUAUGCAGUAUGAACAUAUUGGGAGCAUUUUGCAUGCAUGGUUUUGUAUC
Molecule: non-coding RNA, 78 nt
Organism: Canis lupus familiaris (dog)
Lineage: Eukaryota; Metazoa; Chordata; Mammalia; Carnivora; Canidae
Source: Rfam